AGGUGUAGCGCAGUUGGUAGCGCGCUUGGUUCGGGACCAAGAGGUCGUGGGUUCAAAUCCCGUCGCCU
Molecule: transfer RNA, 68 nt
Filed under: chicken gut metagenome
Rfam family: tRNA
About the family: Transfer RNA (tRNA) molecules are approximately 80 nucleotides in length. Their secondary structure includes four short double-helical elements and three loops (D, anti-codon, and T loops).
Source: RNAcentral